Molecule: ribosomal RNA, 444 nt
Filed under: uncultured prokaryote
Description: bacterial SSU rRNA
Rfam family: Bacterial small subunit ribosomal RNA
Source: RNAcentral
CCACGGGGGGCAGCAGUGGGGAAUAUUGCGCAAUGGGCGAAAGCCUGACGCAGCGACGCCUCGUGAGGGAUGAAGGUCUUCGGAUCGUAAACCUCUGUCAAGAGGGAAGAAACCCUUGGAUUCGAACAGGGUCCUUGGCUGACGGUACCUCAAAAGGAAGCACCGGCUAACUCCGUGCCAGCAGCCGCGGUAAUACGGAGGGUGCAAGCGUUAAUCGGAAUCACUGGGCGGAAAGCGCUCGUAGGCGGGAUGGUCAGUCAGAUGUGAAAGCCCGCGGCUUAACCGCGGAACUGCAUUUGAUACUGCCAAACUUGAGUGUCGGAGAGGGUGGCGGAAUUCCGGGUGUAGGAGUGAAAUCCGUAGAUAUCCGGAGGAACACCAGUGGCGAAGGCGGCCACCUGGACGACAACUGACGCUGAGGAGCGAAAGCGUGGGGAGCAAACA